GAUGAACGCUGGCGGCGUGCCUAAUACAUGCAAGUCGAGCGAACGGACGAGAAGCUUGCUUCUCUGAUGUUAGCGGCGGACGGGUGAGUAACACGUGGAUAACCUACCUAUAAGACUGGGAUAACUUCGGGAAACCGGAGCUAAUACCGGAUUAUCUUUUGAACCGCAUGGUUCAAAAGUGAAAGAUGGUCUUGCUGUCACUUAUAGCUGGAACCGCGCUGCAUUAGCUAGUUGGUAAGGUAACGGCUUACCAAGGCAACGAUCCAUAGCCGACCUGAGAGGGUGACCGGCCAAACUGGAACUGAUACACGGUCCAGACUCCUACGGGAGGAAGCGGUAGGGAAUCUUCCGCAAUGGGCGAAAGCCGGACGGAGCAACGCCGCGUGAGUGAUGAAGGUCUUCGGAUCGUAAAACUCUGUUAUUAGGGAAGAACAUAUGUGUAAGUAACUGUGCACAUCGUGACGGUACCUAAUCAGAAAGCCACGGCUAACUACGUG
RNAcentral lists this ribosomal RNA (497 nucleotides) under uncultured bacterium. RNAcentral's name for it is "partial 16S ribosomal RNA". It matches the Rfam family "Bacterial small subunit ribosomal RNA", at positions 28 to 507 of the family's 1533-position model. The record is from RNAcentral.